This 125-nucleotide transfer RNA is filed under the name Trichormus variabilis FACHB-164. Its description in RNAcentral is "tRNA-OTHER". Lineage: Bacteria; Bacillati; Cyanobacteriota; Cyanophyceae; Nostocales; Nostocaceae. The record is from RNAcentral.
UGGCAGGUAGUUCAAAUGGUAGAACACCUAAAACAUCCUUUUUCAUACCUUGCCUGCAAAGGCCGACGAAUGAGGGUUAUCGCCUUCCACGCGGGAAGUUGCGGGUUCGAGUCCCGCCCUGCCAC